RNAcentral lists this transfer RNA (74 nucleotides) under Spirochaetales bacterium. RNAcentral describes it as "tRNA-Cys". It matches the Rfam family "tRNA". Rfam says of the family: Transfer RNA (tRNA) molecules are approximately 80 nucleotides in length. The record is from RNAcentral. Lineage: Bacteria; Pseudomonadati; Spirochaetota; Spirochaetia; Spirochaetales. RNAcentral also lists the same sequence under 2 other names.
GGUGUUGUACCCAAGUGGCCUAAGGGAACGGUCUGCAAAACCGUCUUUCAUCGGUUCGAAUCCGAUCGACACCU